RNAcentral lists this ribosomal RNA (465 nucleotides) under Vreelandella stevensii. RNAcentral's name for it is "partial 16S ribosomal RNA". It matches the Rfam family "Bacterial small subunit ribosomal RNA", at positions 338 to 795 of the family's 1533-position model. Lineage: Bacteria; Pseudomonadati; Pseudomonadota; Gammaproteobacteria; Oceanospirillales; Halomonadaceae. The record is from RNAcentral.
CCUACGGGUGGCUGCAGUGGGGAAUAUUGGACAAUGGGGGCAACCCUGAUCCAGCCAUGCCGCGUGUGUGAAGAAGGCCCUCGGGUUGUAAAGCACUUUCAGUGAGGAAGAACGCCUGGUGGUUAAUACCCAUCAGGAAAGACAUCACUCACAGAAGAAGCACCGGCUAACUCCGUGCCAGCAGCCGCGGUAAUACGGAGGGUGCGAGCGUUAAUCGGAAUUACUGGGCGUAAAGCGCGCGUAGGUGGCUUGAUAAGCCGGUUGUGAAAGCCCCGGGCUCAACCUGGGAACGGCAUCCGGAACUGUCAAGCUAGGGUGCAGGAGAGGAAGGUAGAAUUCCCGGUGUAGCGGUGAAAUGCGUAGAGAUCGGGAGGAAUACCAGUGGCGAAGGCGGCCUUCUGGACUGACACUGACACUGAGGUGCGAAAGCGUGGGUAGCAAACAGGAUUAGAUACCCCAGUAGUC